GGAGAGUUUGAUCCUGGCUCAGAACGAACGCUGGCGGCGUGCCUAACACAUGCAAGUCGAACGCGAAAGUCCUUCGGGGCGAGUAGAGUGGCGCACGGGUGAGUAACGCGUGGAUAAUCUGCCCUAGGGUGGGGGAUAACGUUUAGAAAUGAACGCUAAUACCGCAUAAGACCACGAGCCUUCGGGCCAGUGGGAAAAGAUGGGGAGCACUUCGGUGCCCUGUCGCCUUUGGAUGAGUCCGCGUACCAUUAGGUAGUUGGUGGGGCAAAGGCCCACCAAGCCAUAGAUGGUUAGCUGGUCUGAGAGGAUGAUCAGCCACACUGGGACUGAGACACGGCCCAGACUCCUACGGGAGGCAGCAGUGGGGAAUAUUGCGCAAUGGGCGAAAGC
This 390-nucleotide ribosomal RNA is filed under the name Zetaproteobacteria bacterium. Its description in RNAcentral is "bacterial SSU rRNA". It matches the Rfam family "Bacterial small subunit ribosomal RNA", at positions 6 to 382 of the family's 1533-position model. Lineage: Bacteria; Pseudomonadati; Pseudomonadota; Candidatius Mariprofundia. The record is from RNAcentral.